This 501-nucleotide ribosomal RNA is filed under the name uncultured bacterium. RNAcentral describes it as "partial 16S ribosomal RNA". It matches the Rfam family "Bacterial small subunit ribosomal RNA", at positions 30 to 523 of the family's 1533-position model. The record is from RNAcentral.
AUUGAACGCUGGCGGCAGGCUUAACACAUGCAAGUCGAGCGGGGGAAGGUAGCUUGCUACCGGACCUAGCGGCGGACGGGUGAGUAAUGCUUAGGAAUCUGCCUAUUAGUGGGGGACAACAUCUCGAAAGGGAUGCUAAUACCGCAUACGUCCUACGGGAGAAAGCAGGGGAUCUUCGGACCUUGCGCUAAUAGAUGAGCCCAAGUCGGAUUAGCUAGUUGGUGGGGUAAAGGCCUACCAAGGCGACGAUCUGUAGCGGGUCUGAGAGGAUGAUCCGCCACACUGGGACUGAGACACGGCCCAGACUCCUACGGGAGGCAGCAGUGGGGAAUAUUGGACAAUGGGGGGAACCCUGAUCCAGCCAUGCCGCGUGUGUGAAGAAGGCCUUAUGGUUGUAAAGCACUUUAAGCGAGGAGAAGGCUACUUUAGUUAAUACCUAGAGAUAGUGGACGUUACUCGCAGAAUAAGCACCGGCUAACUCCGUGCCAGCCGCCGCAGUAA